This 132-nucleotide small RNA is filed under the name Marmota monax (woodchuck). The record is from RNAcentral. Lineage: Eukaryota; Metazoa; Chordata; Mammalia; Rodentia; Sciuridae.
GCCGGGCAUAGUGGCGCAUGCCUGUAAUCCCAGCAGCUUGGGAGGCUGAGACAGAAGAAUUGAAAGUUCAAAGUUCAAAGCUAGCCUCAGCAACAGUGAGGCACAAAGCAAUUCAGUGAGACUCUGUUGCUA